This 348-nucleotide unclassified non-coding RNA is filed under the name soil metagenome. Its description in RNAcentral is "partial contains 5.8S ribosomal RNA, internal transcribed spacer 2, and large subunit ribosomal RNA". The stretch from base 1 to 120 matches the Rfam family "5.8S ribosomal RNA", at positions 35 to 154 of the family's 154-position model. The record is from RNAcentral.
GAUGAAGAACGUAGCGAAAUGCGAUAAGUAAAGUGAAUUGCAGAAUUCAGUGAAUCAUCGAAUCUUUGAACGCACAUUGCGCCCGCCAGUAUUCUGGCGGGCAUGCCUGUCUGAGCGUCAUUUCAACCCUCAUGCCCCUAGGGCGUGGUGUUGGGGAUCGGCCAAAGCCCGCGAGGGACGGCCGGCCCCUAAAUCUAGUGGCGGACCCGUCGUGGCCUCCUCUGCGAAGUAGUGAUAUUCCGCAUCGGAGAGCGACGAGCCCCUGCCGUUAAACCCCCAACUUUCCAAGGUUGACCUCAGAUCAGGUAGGAAUACCCGCUGAACUUAAGCAUAUCAAUAAGCGGAGGA